RNAcentral lists this ribosomal RNA (319 nucleotides) under uncultured Actinomycetes bacterium. RNAcentral describes it as "bacterial SSU rRNA". It matches the Rfam family "Bacterial small subunit ribosomal RNA", at positions 28 to 351 of the family's 1533-position model. The record is from RNAcentral. Lineage: Bacteria; Bacillati; Actinomycetota; Actinomycetes.
GACGAACGCUGGCGGCGUGCUUAACACAUGCAAGUCGAACGGAAAGGCCCUUCGGGGUACUCGAGUGGCGAACGGGUGAGUAACACGUGGGUGAUCUGCCCUGCACUUCGGGAUAAGCCUGGGAAACUGGGUCUAAUACCGGAUAUGACCUUGGGAUGCAUGUCCUUUGGUGGAAAGCUUUUGCGGUGUGGGAUGGGCCCGCGGCCUAUCAGCUUGUUGGUGGGGUUAAGGCCUACCAAGGCGACGACGGGUAGCCGGCCUGAGAGGGUGACCGGCCACACUGGGACUGAGAUACGGCCCAGACUCCUACGGGAGGCAG